CGUCGAGUGGCGGACGGGUGAGUAAUACUUAGGAAUCUGCCCAUUAGUGGGGGACAACUAGAAGAAAUUCUAGCUAAUACCGCAUACGCCCUACGGGGGAAAGCGGGGGAUCUUCGGACCUCGCGCUAAUGGAUGAGCCUAAGUCGGAUUAGCUUGUUGGUGGGGUAAUGGCCUACCAAGACUACGACGCGUAGCGGAUCUGAGAGGAUGAUCCGUCACAUUGGGACUGAGAUACGGCCCAG
RNAcentral lists this ribosomal RNA (242 nucleotides) under uncultured bacterium. Its description in RNAcentral is "partial 16S ribosomal RNA". It matches the Rfam family "Bacterial small subunit ribosomal RNA", at positions 89 to 334 of the family's 1533-position model. The record is from RNAcentral.